This 322-nucleotide unclassified non-coding RNA is filed under the name uncultured fungus. RNAcentral describes it as "sequence contains ITS2". The record is from RNAcentral. Lineage: Eukaryota; Fungi.
AACGCAUCUUGCGCCCUUGGGUUACUCCGAAGGGCAUGCCUGUUUGAGAGUCAUUAUUGUUCUCAACUUUGAGAGUUUUUGCAAAGAGACUCUUGAAAGCUUGGAUGUGGGGGGGGGACUUUUUUGCUGGCACUUGUUGUGUUGGCUCCUCUGAAAUGCAUUAGCAGAACUCGUUGAGUUUCUUGGCUCUGGUUUGAUAAUAUCUAUGCCAUUGCUGAGAGGAUCUCUGUGUUGGUUCAGCUUCUAACUCUUGUCAUCAUCAUUGAUGAUAAACCUUUUGAAACUUGACCUCAAAUCAGGUAGGACUACCCGCUGAACUUAA